UACGUAGGGUGCAAGCGUUGUCCGGAAUUAUUGGGCGUAAAGAGCUCGUAGGCGGUUUGUCGCGUCGAAUGUGAAAACCCGGGGCUCAACCCCGGGCCUGCAUUCGAUACGGGCAGACUAGAGUUCGGUAGGGGAGUCUGGAGUUCCUGGUGUAGCGGUGAAAUGCGCAGAUAUCAGGAGGAACACCGGUGGCGAAGGCGGGACUCUGGGCUGGUAUUGACGCUGAGGAGCGAAAGCGUGGGUAGCGAACAGG
This 253-nucleotide ribosomal RNA is filed under the name uncultured bacterium. Its description in RNAcentral is "partial 16S ribosomal RNA". It matches the Rfam family "Bacterial small subunit ribosomal RNA", at positions 524 to 776 of the family's 1533-position model. The record is from RNAcentral.